GAUGAAGAACGCAGUGAAAUGCGAUAAGUAAUGUGAAUUGCAGAAUUCCGUGAAUCAUCGAAUCUUUGAACGCACAUUGCGCCCGCUAGUAUUCUGGCGGGCAUGCCUGUCCGAGCGUCAUUUCAACCCUCAAGCCCCCGGGCUUGGUGUUGGGGAUCGGCGAGCCUCCGCGCCCGCCGUCCCCUAAAUCUAGUGGCGGUCUCGCUGUAGCUUCCUCUGCGUAGUAGCACACCUCGCACUGGGAAACAGCGCGGCCACGCCGUUAAACCCCCAACUUCUGAACGUUUGACCUCGGAUCAGGUAGGAAUACCCGCUGAACUUAAGCAUAUCAAUAAGCGGAGGA
RNAcentral lists this unclassified non-coding RNA (343 nucleotides) under soil metagenome. Its description in RNAcentral is "partial contains 5.8S ribosomal RNA, internal transcribed spacer 2, and large subunit ribosomal RNA". The stretch from base 1 to 120 matches the Rfam family "5.8S ribosomal RNA", at positions 35 to 154 of the family's 154-position model. The record is from RNAcentral.